RNAcentral lists this long non-coding RNA (1107 nucleotides) under Struthio camelus australis. Its description in RNAcentral is "lncRNA (ENSSCUG00000007204.1)". Lineage: Eukaryota; Metazoa; Chordata; Aves; Struthioniformes; Struthionidae. The record is from RNAcentral.
GGCUGUUGUACAAAGAGGUACAGCGUUUAUUCUUUUAGGGCAUUACGUAUGAUGUUACACUUCGCUUACAGAUCUGUGGCAACCUUCCUGUUGCCUCUUAACCAACACAUACUGCACACUGAAGGACAUGCUGGGAAAAGUGCUUUUGGGAAUUUUUUGAAUGAUUUUGAAAUCAAAAGUUAACUUCUUAAUGUUGGGAUUUAUUAAAUAAAAUCAGGCUCUGACCACAGAAGUAUAUAGGCUCAUAUUGCCUCGAUUUCUGUUACUCAAGCAGGUGUUCAUAAAUACCAUUGUAUGUCUGGGCCCAGCUGGUUAUGAUUCUCAAAAAUAACUGAGUGAUAAUACUGUGUUGACUAAGGCUCCAGGAGCUGCAGCUCACCAGCUUCAAUAAUUUAAUUCACAAAACAAAUAAACCAGUGGGUUUCCUUGAUUAAAGGCAAACUGGAACCAUAGAGAUAUGAAUAAGGUAAGAUACGUGUGCCCCUUACAGUAUUCUUGCAUAUAAUACAUUGGAAAAACAGAUGUUGCAGGCUUGUGAUGGUGCAGCAAAGGAUGAAACGCUGGUACUAUACGCAAAGAUCAGUGAGUUGAAACCCCCUUCCAAAACCCCUUUUCUUCUUCCAUAAGUAAGCUCGUCCUCCAUACGUAAUUUUAGUGCACACAACAUACGUUUAGGUCAUGGCAUUAUUGCUUCCCCUUCAUAAAGGAUGAUGUUCCUUCCAGUUGCUGCUUUCUGGCUUGCCGUUUUGCUUUGAAACGGGAGGUGACCUGGAGCGUAUCGUCAUGGCAUUCCACCUGAAGGUACAAAAUACUGCAGUCUUCAACUGUUUCACGUUCAGACAUGGAGGUUUCCAGUCGUUUCCAGUGGCAAUGUUUGGAGCACCGGCUGAAGAUCAGGAAUUCCAUUCAAGAUCCUCUUGAUUUAAUUGCUGAUGGUUUGAGAAGUUAGAAUUAGCUGUAAUCAUCAGUAAGCCAGCAGUCUUGAAUGGGUGAAAAUGACAACCACCUACUUACAAGGUAAGUUCUUAGCUGUAAUUAAAUGUUGUGUCAUGAUGCUGGAAUAUUUCAACGUAGAACUUGGACAAGCAGUACAGAAAUCAUCCUCCA